This 3190-nucleotide small RNA is filed under the name Pan troglodytes (chimpanzee). RNAcentral's name for it is "processed transcript". The record is from RNAcentral. Lineage: Eukaryota; Metazoa; Chordata; Mammalia; Primates; Hominidae.
AGUGAGCACUGGGAUGUGGCAAGGCUGAUCCCUGCUUCAGAGCUGCCUGGGAGGACUGAGCUGCCAGAACCACUUCAGCCCCACCACAGCCCAACUCAAAUUGAAAUCUACUUUAUUAUUAGAAUUUUGGUGGAAGGAGAAAGCAAAUCUGAGAGCAAGCCAAGAUGUUAAAGUGGAUUAGCUGGAGACAGUCCAAGGCAAACAAGGCUCAACUCUCUGGUGGAUGUGAGCUGACAGUGGUCCUCCAGGACUUCAGUGCGGGCCACAGCAGUGAGCUGACCAUCCAGGUGGGGCAGACGGUAGAGCUGCUGGAGCGGCCCAGCGAGCGGCCUGGUUGGUGUCUGGUCCGUACCACCGAACGGAGCCCGCCCUUGGAGGGUCUGGUCCCCAGCAGCGCCCUGUGCAUCUCACAUUCCCGAAGCAGCGUGGAGAUGGACUGCUUCUUCCCCUUGGUGAAAGAUGCAUACUCUCAUUCCUCAAGUGAGAAUGGAGGCAAGUCCGAGUCCGUGGCCAACCUGCAGGCCCAGCCCUCCCUGAACUCCAUCCACAGUUCCCCAGGUCCCAAGCGCUCCACCAACACUCUUAAGAAGUGGCUGACGAGUCCUGUGCGUCGGCUCAACAGCGGGAAGGCAGAUGGAAACAUCAAAAAGCAGAAGAAAGUUCGCGAUGGUCGGAAGAGCUUUGACCUGGGAUCUCCCAAGCCUGGGGAUGAAACAACCCCUCAGGGAGACAGCGCUGAUGAGAAGAGCAAGAAAGGUUGGGGUGAAGAUGAGCCGGAUGAAGAGUCACACACACCCCUCCCACCACCUAUGAAGAUUUUUGACAACGACCCUACACAGGAUGAAAUGAGUCUAGAAGGAAGCUCAUACCGGGGGAGCUUGAAAGACCCUGCAGGCUGCCUGAAUGAGGGGAUGGCCCCACCCACACCUCCUAAAAACCCAGAAGAAGAACAGAAAGCCAAGGCCCUGAGAGGCAGGAUGUUUGUCCUGAAUGAGCUGGUACAGACAGAGAAAGACUACGUCAAGGAUCUGGGCAUUGUGGUGGAGGGCUUCAUGAAGAGAAUAGAAGAAAAGGGUGUCCCUGAGGAUAUGCGAGGAAAGGACAAAAUCGUGUUUGGAAAUAUUCAUCAGAUUUAUGACUGGCAUAAGGAUUUUUUCCUGGCGGAACUGGAAAAGUGUAUCCAGGAGCAAGACAGAUUGGCACAGCUCUUUAUUAAGCAUGAGCGGAAGCUGCACAUCUACGUGUGGUAUUGUCAGAAUAAGCCGCGCUCAGAGUACAUCGUUGCUGAGUAUGACGCCUACUUUGAGGAGGUAAAACAGGAGAUAAAUCAGAGGCUGACACUGAGUGACUUCCUCAUCAAGCCCAUUCAGAGAAUAACAAAAUACCAGUUGCUCCUCAAGGACUUCCUGAGAUACAGUGAGAAGGCUGGUUUGGAGUGUUCAGAUAUCGAGAAAGCAGUGGAGUUAAUGUGCCUUGUUCCCAAACGCUGCAAUGACAUGAUGAAUCUAGGACGUCUGCAGGGCUUUGAGGGCACCCUGACUGCUCAGGGGAAGCUGCUGCAGCAGGACACAUUCUAUGUGAUCGAGCUGGAUGCGGGCAUGCAGUCCCGGACCAAAGAGAGGCGCGUGUUCCUCUUCGAGCAGAUUGUCAUCUUCAGUGAACUGCUCAGGAAGGGAUCCCUCACCCCUGGCUACAUGUUCAAAAGGAGCAUCAAGAUGAAUUACUUGGUCCUGGAGGAGAAUGUGGACAAUGAUCCCUGCAAGUUUGCACUCAUGAACAGAGAGACUUCUGAGAGGGUCGUUCUGCAAGCCGCCAACGCUGACAUCCAGCAGGCCUGGGUGCAGGACAUCAAUCAAGUCUUAGAAACACAGCGAGACUUUUUGAAUGCACUGCAAUCGCCCAUUGAGUAUCAACGGAAAGAAAGGAGCACAGCUGUGACGAGGUCUCAACCUGCCAGGCUUCCCCAAGCCAGCCCCAGGCCCUACUCCUCUGUUCCUGCGGGCUCAGAGAAGCCCCCAAAGGGCUCCAGCUAUAACCCACCUCUGCCUCCCCUGAAGAUAUCUACCUCCAAUGGCAGUCCAGGGUUUGAAUACCACCAGCCUGGGGACAAGUUCGAAGCCAGCAAGAACGACCUGGGAGGCUGCAAUGGGACCUCGUCCAUGGCCGUGAUCAAAGAUUACUAUGCACUGAAGGAGAAUGAAAUCUGUGUGAGCCAAGGUGAGGUGGUCCAGGUCCUCGCCGUCAACCAGCAGAACAUGUGUCUGGUGUACCAGCCUGCCAGCGACCAUUCCCCCGCCGCCGAGGGCUGGGUCCCAGGCAGCAUCCUGGCGCCCCUCACCAAAGCCACAGCAGCAGAAAGUAGUGACGGGAGCAUCAAGUAAGUGCCUCGUUGGCUUCCCCGGGAGAGGAGUAUGAGGAUUAAAAAUAUUCAGAAACAAACAAAAGAACACAAAAAUGCAAACACAUGGUAGGGAAUUACUACUGCUUAUUCUCAACAGUACCACAGAACCAGUGUUUGAGUGCUGGCACCAUAUGCAACAUGGGGCAUCCGGGCUGGAGUGGUCCAGUUUUUUUGUUGGUGGUGGCGAUGAUUUUUCUUUCCUUUUGGUUUAUAAUUUUCUGUUCAUUUUUCCCCCUUUCUCCCCCCGAUUCAUUAAGAACCCUACUGAAACCCUAGGUGACAAAAGGUGUGCCUUCUGUUGCCACAUUUGACCCACCACAGGACUCACUGGACUGGACUUCUAUUUAUAUUGUAUUAAGUAACUGAUAUAUAUAUAUAUAUAUAUAUUCGAUUGACACCAAAAAAUUACCUUGGCACAAAUGCCAGACCUGUGAAGGUCAGAGGCCCGCUGCUUCUCCCAGGAGGGAGGGAACUUUUUGGUUGUCUGUGGCAAUUCCGCUGUACAGAUUGUAACUUUUUAAAAAUUUCCCUUCACCCCAUCACUUGAAUAUAUGUUCAUAGUAAUUUGUAAGAUACUUCUUUUCCUUAUUUUGGUUGCAAGACCCUUCCGAACACAUUCCUGUAUAAAGUAUUUUGCACUAUUUAAAGAAACCCAUAUGGAUGAAGUCAGGAUGUGCAAUAUGAUGGCGUCACAGUGCUCAUCGUUGUACCUGUAAUGUAACUAAUCAGUUUAAAUGUACUAUUUUAAAUAUGUAAAAUAAAUUUUCACCAUGAGCAUGUUUUAAUGAA